AUUAAUUUUCAGUUUUUAGAAUGACUAUUCGUCUUAUUUAAAAAAUCAUAAUUAGUAUUUUUAUUGAUAGAUGAUAAAAUAUGAAUAGAACUUUACACGUGACUAAUUUUUUAAUAUUUUUUUAAAUGAGACGGAGGGUUAAACGCUCGACACGGAAACAAAGAAAUGCUCUUUUU
Molecule: microRNA precursor, 176 nt
Filed under: Oryza brachyantha (malo sina)
Lineage: Eukaryota; Viridiplantae; Streptophyta; Magnoliopsida; Poales; Poaceae
Description: MIR812 microRNA precursor family
Rfam family: MIR812 microRNA precursor family
Source: Rfam by way of RNAcentral